UACGGAAGGCAGCAGUGGGGAAUAUUGCACAAUGGGCGAAAGCCUGAUGCAGCUAUGCCGCGUGUAUGAAGAAGGCCUUAGGGUUGUAAAGUACUUUCAUCGGGGAGGAAAAAACAAAACUAAUAAUUUUAUUUCUUGACGUUACCCGAAAAAGAAGCACCGGCUAACUCCGUGCCAGCAGCCGCGGUAAUACGGAGGGUGCUAGCGUUAAUCAGAAUUACUGGGCGUAAAGAGCACGUAGGUGGUUUUUUUAAGUCAGAUGUGAAAUCCCUGGGCUUAAACCUAGGAACUGCAUUUUGAAACUGAAAUACUAGAGUAUCGUAGAGGGAGGUAGAAUUCUAGGUGUAGCGGUGAAAUGCGUAGAUAUCUGGAGGAAUACCUGUGGCGAAAGCGGCCUCCUAAACGAAUACUGACACUGAGGUGCGAAAGCGU
RNAcentral lists this ribosomal RNA (432 nucleotides) under uncultured bacterium. RNAcentral describes it as "bacterial SSU rRNA". It matches the Rfam family "Bacterial small subunit ribosomal RNA", at positions 340 to 762 of the family's 1533-position model. The record is from RNAcentral.